UGCUGCAGAAAUGACAGCCAUUGUAACUGUC
Molecule: non-coding RNA, 31 nt
Filed under: Mus musculus (house mouse)
Lineage: Eukaryota; Metazoa; Chordata; Mammalia; Rodentia; Muridae
Source: RNAcentral